AGAGUUUGAUCCUGGCUCAGAUUGAACGCUGGCGGCAUGCUUUACACAUGCAAGUCGAACGGUAACAGGUCUUCGGAUGCUGACGAGUGGCGAACGGGUGAGUAAUACAUCGGAACGUGCCUAGUAGUGGGGGAUAACUACUCGAAAGAGUAGCUAAUACCGCAUGAGAUCUACGGAUGAAAGCAGGGGACCUUCGGGCCUUGUGCUACUAGAGCGGCUGAUGGCAGAUUAGGUAGUUGGUGGGGUAAAGGCUUACCAAGCCUGCGAUCUGUAGCUGGUCUGAGAGGACGACCAGCCACACUGGGACUGAGACACGGCCCAGACUCCUACGGGAGGCAGCAGUGGGGAAUUUUGGACAAUGGGCGAAAGCCUGAUCCAGCAAUGCCGCGUGCAGGAUGAAGGCCCUCGGGUUGUAAACUGCUUUUGUACGGAACGAAAAGCCUGGGGCUAAUAUCCCCGGGUCAUGACGGUACCGUAAGAAUAAGCACCGGCUAACUACGUGCCAGCAGCCGCGGUAAUACGUAGGGUGCAAGCGUUAAUCGGAAUUACUGGGCGUAAAGCGUGCGCAGGCGGUUUUGUAAGACAGUGGUGAAAUCCCCGGGCUCAACCUGGGAACUGCCAUCGUGACUGCAAGGCUAGAGUGCGGCAGAGGGGGAUGGAAUUCCGCGUGUAGCAGUGAAAUGCGUAGAUAUGCGGGGGAACACCGAUGGCGAAGGCAAUCCCCUGGGCCUGCACUGACGCUCAUGCACGAAAGCGUGGGG
RNAcentral lists this ribosomal RNA (761 nucleotides) under uncultured bacterium. RNAcentral describes it as "bacterial SSU rRNA". It matches the Rfam family "Bacterial small subunit ribosomal RNA", at positions 8 to 766 of the family's 1533-position model. The record is from RNAcentral.